RNAcentral lists this transfer RNA (72 nucleotides) under Camelus bactrianus (Bactrian camel). It matches the Rfam family "tRNA". Rfam says of the family: Transfer RNA (tRNA) molecules are approximately 80 nucleotides in length. The record is from Rfam by way of RNAcentral. Lineage: Eukaryota; Metazoa; Chordata; Mammalia; Artiodactyla; Camelidae. RNAcentral also lists the same sequence under 2 other names.
GGGAACAUAGCUCAGUGGUAGAGCUCGCACUUAGCAUGCAUGAGGUCCUGGGUUCAAUCCCUUGUAUUUCCA